AACGAACGCUGGCGGCAUGCCUAACACAUGCAAGUCGAACGGGAACGCCGGGUUUAGAGGCGAACGGGUGGGUAAAGCGGGGGAAAAUGCCCGGAGGUUCGGAAUAACACCCCGAAAGAAGUGCGAAUAACGGGGAAUGUUAUCGGACAUAAGAUUUAUCGGCUUUGGAGGGGCCCGCGUUGGUUUAGCUAGUUGGUAGGGUACAAGCUUACCAAGGCGACGAGCCGUAGCUGGUUUGAGAGGAUGAUCAGCCACACUGGGACUGAGCCCCGGCCCCGACUCCUACGGGAGGCAGCGGUUGUGAAUAUUGGACAAUGGGCGAGAUCCUGAUCCAGCGCUGCCGCGUGAGUGAUGAACGCCUUAUGGUUGUCUAGCUCUUUUACCCGGGAUGAUAAUGACGGUACCGGGAGAAUAAGCUCCGGCUAACUCCGUG
Molecule: ribosomal RNA, 433 nt
Filed under: uncultured bacterium
Lineage: Bacteria
Description: partial 16S ribosomal RNA
Rfam family: Bacterial small subunit ribosomal RNA
Source: RNAcentral